AGAGCGAACGCUGGCGGCAGGCCUAACACAUGCAAGUCGAGCGCCCGUAGCAAUACGGGAGCGGCAGACGGGAGAGUAACACGUGGGAACGCGCCCUUCGGUUCGGAAUAACUCAGGGAAACUUGAGCUAAUACCGGAUACGCCCUUACGGGGAAAGAUUUAUUGCCGAAGGAACGGCCCGCGUCCGAUUAGCUUGUUGGUGAGGUAAUGGCUCACCAAGGCGACGAUCCGUAGCUGGUCUGAGAGGACGAUCAGCCACACUGGGACUGAGACACGGCCCAGACUCCUACGGGAGGCAGCAGUGGGGAAUCUUGCACAAUGGGCGAAAGCCUGAUGCAGCGACACCGCGUGAGGGAAGAAGGCUUUCGGGUUGUAAACCUCUUUCAGGAGGGACGAAGCUACUCGGGUUAAUAGCCCAGAGGGUGACGGUACCUUCAGAAGAAGCCCCGGCUAACUACGUGCCAGCAGCCGC
This 472-nucleotide ribosomal RNA is filed under the name uncultured bacterium. Its description in RNAcentral is "SSU rRNA". It matches the Rfam family "Bacterial small subunit ribosomal RNA", at positions 26 to 518 of the family's 1533-position model. The record is from RNAcentral.